CCUACGGGUGGCAGCAGUGAGGAAUAUUGGUCAAUGGGCGCGAGCCUGAACCAGCCAAGUAGCGUGAAGGAUGACUGCCCUACGGGUUGUAAACUUCUUUUAUAAAGGAAUAAAGUGAGGCACGUGUGCCUUUUUGUAUGUACUUUAUGAAUAAGGAUCGGCUAACUCCGUGCCAGCAGCCGCGGUAAUACGGAGGAUCCGAGCGUUAUCCGGAUUUAUUGGGUUUAAAGGGAGCGUAGGUGGAUUGUUAAGUCAGUUGUGAAAGGUUGCGGCUCAACCGUGAAAUUGCAGUUGAAACUGGCAGUCUAGAGUACAGUAGAGGUGGGCGGAAUUCGUGGUGUAGCGGUGAAAUGCUUAGAUAUCACGAAGAACUCCGAUUGCGAAGGCAGCUCACUGGACUGCAACUGACACUGAUGCUCGAAAGUGUGGGGAUCAAACAGGAUUAGAUACCCGGGUAGUC
RNAcentral lists this ribosomal RNA (460 nucleotides) under uncultured bacterium. RNAcentral describes it as "partial 16S ribosomal RNA". It matches the Rfam family "Bacterial small subunit ribosomal RNA", at positions 338 to 795 of the family's 1533-position model. The record is from RNAcentral.